ACGGGUGAGUAACACGUAGGCAACCUGCCCUCAAGUUUGGGACAACUACCGGAAACGGUGGCUAAUACCGAAUAAUUGUUUUCUUCGCCUGAAGGAAACUGGAAAGACGGAGUAAUCUGUCACUUGGGGAUGGGCCUGCGGCGCAUUAGCUAGUUGGUGGGGUAACGGCUCACCAAGGCGACGAUGCGUAGCCGACCUGAGAGGGUGAUCGGCCACACUGGGACUGAGACACGGCCCAGACUCCUACGGGAGGCAGCAGUAGGGAAUCUUCCGCAAUGGGCGAAAGCCUGACGGAGCAAUGCCGCGUGAGUGAUGAAGGUUUUCGGAUCGUAAAGCUCUGUUGCCAGGGAAGAACGCUUGGGAGAGUAACUGCUCUCAAGGUGACGGUACCUGAGAAGAAAGCCCCGGCUAACUACGUGCCAGCAGCCGCGGUAAUACGUAGGGGGCAAGCGUUGUCCGGAAUUAUUGGGCGUAAAGCGCGCGCAGGCGGUCAUUUAAGUCUGGUGUUUAAUCCCGGGGCUCAACCCCGGAUCGCACUGGAAACUGGGUGACUUGAGUGCAGAAGAGGAGAGUGGA
This 576-nucleotide ribosomal RNA is filed under the name uncultured bacterium. RNAcentral's name for it is "bacterial SSU rRNA". It matches the Rfam family "Bacterial small subunit ribosomal RNA", at positions 102 to 665 of the family's 1533-position model. The record is from RNAcentral.